This 447-nucleotide ribosomal RNA is filed under the name uncultured bacterium. Its description in RNAcentral is "bacterial SSU rRNA". It matches the Rfam family "Bacterial small subunit ribosomal RNA", at positions 355 to 825 of the family's 1533-position model. The record is from RNAcentral.
UGGGGAAUUUUGGACAAUGGGCGCAAGCCUGAUCCAGCCAUGCCGCGUGGAUGAUGAAGGCCCUAGGGUUGUAAAAUCCUUUCGUCAGGGACGAUAAUGACGGUACCUGAAGAAGAAGCCCCGGCUAACUUCGUGCCAGCAGCCGCGGUAAUACGAAGGGGGCUAGCGUUGUUCGGAAUUACUGGGCGUAAAGCGCAUGUAGGCGGGUCGUUAAGUCGGGGGUGAAAGCCCAGAGCUCAACUCUGGAACUGCCUUCGAUACUGGCGACCUGGACCCAAGGAGAGGCGAGUGGAAUUGCGAGUGUAGAGGUGAAAUUCGUAGAUAUUCGCAGGAACACCAGUGGCGAAGGCGACUCGCUGGACUUGUGGUGACGCUGAGAUGCGAAAGCGUGGGGAGCAAACAGGAUUAGAUACCCCGGUAGUCCCUGAGCGGGCUGGCAAGGCGCAU